Molecule: unclassified non-coding RNA, 496 nt
Filed under: uncultured Paraglomus
Lineage: Eukaryota; Fungi; Glomeromycota; Glomeromycetes; Paraglomerales; Paraglomeraceae
Description: SSU rRNA
Rfam family: Eukaryotic small subunit ribosomal RNA
Source: RNAcentral
CCAAUAGCGUAUAUUAAAGUUGUUGUGGUUAAAAAGCUCGUAGUUGAACCUUGGGCCUGGCUGGCCGGUCCGCCUCACCGCGUGUACUGGUCCGGCCGGGCCUUUCCCUCUGUGGAACCUCAUGCCCUUCACUGGGUGUGACGGGGAAGCAGGACUUUUACUGUGAAAAAAUUAGAGUGCUCCAAGCAGGCCUAUGCUCGAAUACAUUAGCAUGGAAUAAUAAAAUAGGACGUGCGGUUCUAUUUUGUUGGUUUCUAGGACCGCCGUAAUGAUUAAUAGGGACAGUCGGGGGCAUCAGUAUUCAAUUGUCAGAGGUGAAAUUCUUGGAUUUAUUGAAGACUAACUACUGCGAAAGCAUUUGCCAAGGAUGUUUUCAUUAAUCAGGAACGAAAGUUAGGGGAUCGAAGACGAUCAGAUACCGCCCUAGUUCACUCUGUAAACGAUGCCAACCAGCGAUCGGCUCCUGUUCUUUCUUAGACGGGGCCGGCAGCUUCUG